UACGUAGGGUGCAAGCGUUGUCCGGAAUUAUUGGGCGUAAAGAGCUCGUAGGCGGUCUGUCGCGUCUGCUGUGAAAUCCCAGGGCUUAACCCUGGGCCUGCAGUGGGUACGGGCAGACUAGAGUGCGGUAGGGGAGAUCGGAAUUCCUGGUGUAGCGGUGAAAUGCGCAGAUAUCAGGAGGAACACCGGUGGCGAAGGCGGAUCUCUGGGCCGUAACUGACGCUGAGGAGCGAAAGCAUGGGUAGCGAACAGG
This 253-nucleotide ribosomal RNA is filed under the name uncultured bacterium. Its description in RNAcentral is "partial 16S ribosomal RNA". It matches the Rfam family "Bacterial small subunit ribosomal RNA", at positions 524 to 776 of the family's 1533-position model. The record is from RNAcentral.